CAGAUCUGCACUAAUACCCAUUAUAUCAUAUACUUAAAGAUAAUAAGGCUCAAAAUAACCAUAUGAUCACAAAUCAAUCAUAGGCUCCUCAAACAUCUGUUUAGCUGACAACUUAGUCUAUAUUACAUAAUAAAUCAAAAUAAAAUUAGUGCAUAUUCAAUGAAAAUCCAUCUUAUGAGAAAUUCUGACAAAACAUACUGAUGCAUAUAAGUAAACAUCAUCACCACC
Molecule: long non-coding RNA, 228 nt
Filed under: Elaeis guineensis (African oil palm)
Lineage: Eukaryota; Viridiplantae; Streptophyta; Magnoliopsida; Arecales; Arecaceae
Description: long non-coding RNA (EGUI_LNC025119)
Source: RNAcentral